GGAACAGGCUGGAAAAUGACAAUGUUGCUUCUAAGCAUCUUGGGCUUGUGAUCCUCACUCUUAACAUCUACCAGAACAGGAGGAAGAAGACUGUGGUGGUGCUGAAAUCCUACACUCCGACAGGAGAGAGCAGUUUGCCUGGGUCCCCGGUGCCUAGUGAGAGAGCUCCUCUAACCUGACACCUUAUGAAAACUGCUCAGUCUUCCUCCAUCCAGCGAGGUGAAAUCCUUGUUGAAUGGAGAGAUGGAACAGUCACCCUAACUGACUAAGUGGUGUCUUGUAGAUGAAAAGGUUUUGAGUAACUUGCACAUUGUUCAUUGGUAACUUGCACAAUGCAUUGGUGGCUUUAUUCUGUUUAAUUGUUUGUUUAUAAAAAAAAAUGCUUUAUUCAGAUUAAUCAAAUUGUUUAAAAACAAAUUAAUUGUGAUUCAGCAAUUUUUUUCCUAAAUAAUGACCCAUGUCCAGGGAAUCAUUGCCAAUUUCAUGAUCAAUUUCCGUGUAUUUAUUUAUUUGAUAUGUAGCUGUGGAAUGGGAUAAAAUGAUUGCAAGAAAAUAAAGAUACAAUCACAUA
Long non-coding RNA from Carassius gibelio (silver crucian carp), 571 nucleotides. RefSeq lists it as uncharacterized. NCBI's taxonomy places the organism in Eukaryota, Metazoa, Chordata, Actinopteri, Cypriniformes, Cyprinidae. The record is from RefSeq and is a predicted model, not a curated record. The transcript has 2 exons.